AGUGAACGCUGGCGGUAGGCCUAACACAUGCAAGUCGAACGGCAGCACAGUAAGAGCUUGCUCUUACGGGUGGCGAGUGGCGGACGGGUGAGGAAUACAUCGGAAUCUACUUUUUCGUGGGGGAUAACGUAGGGAAACUUACGCUAAUACCGCAUACGACCUACGGGUGAAAGCAGGGGAUCUUCGGACCUUGCGCGAUUGAAUGAGCCGAUGUCGGAUUAGCUAGUUGGCGGGGUAAGGGCCCACCAAGGCGACGAUCCGUAGCCGGUCUGAGAGGAUGGUCGGCCACACUGGAACUGAGACACGGUCCAGACUCCUACGGGAGGCAGCAGUGGGGAAUAUUGGACAAUGGGCGCAAGCCUGGUCCAGCCAUACCGCGUGGGUGAAGAAGGCCUUCGGGUUGUAAAGCCCUUUUGUUGGGAAAGAAAAGCAGCAGGUUAAUACCCCGCUGUUCUGACGGUACCCAAAGAAUAAGCACCGGCUAACUUCGUG
RNAcentral lists this ribosomal RNA (492 nucleotides) under uncultured bacterium. Its description in RNAcentral is "partial 16S ribosomal RNA". It matches the Rfam family "Bacterial small subunit ribosomal RNA", at positions 29 to 507 of the family's 1533-position model. The record is from RNAcentral.